GCCAAAAAUCUAGCCCCCUAAACCCAUAAUGAAAACAAAUUAUAAGCCUAUAUUAAUUAAAACAUUUUUAAAAACUUAGUAAAGGAGAUUGAAAAACUACUUAGGAGCUACAAAAUUAGUACCGCAAGGGAAAGAUGAAAUAUAAAUGAAACAAUACUUAAGCACAAAAAAGUAGAGAUUUAAUCUCGUACCUUUUGCAUCAUGGUUUAACUAGUUCAACCAAGCAGAAAGAAUUAAAGUUUGACUUCCCGAAACUAUGCGAGCUACUUCAAGGCAGCUUAUUGAGCUAACCCGUCUCUGUUGCAAAAGAGUGGGAUGACCUUCAAGUAGGGGUGACAGACCUACCGAGCUUAGUGAUAGCUGGUUACUCAAGAAAAGAAUUUAAGUCCAACCUAAAAUUAUACUUAUACUACUAAAUAAAACCCUAAUUUUAGAGCAAUUCAAAUAAGGUACAGCCUAUUUGAAGCAGGAUACAACCUAACCCAAAGGGUAAUAUUAUAAUUUAAUUUAACCAAGUGGGCCUAAAAGCAGCCACCUUUUAAAUAGCGUCAAAGCUUAAUUAUGUCUUUAUAUAAUACCACAAUAACUUCAGAACCCUUCACUACUAUUGAGUAUUUCUAUACUUCUAUAGAACCUUUUAUGUUAAAACUAGUAACAAGAAGAAGAACUUCUCCUACAUGCAAGUGUAUAUCAGCUAGGACAAACCACUGAUAAUUAACGCCUAUGAACAUCUAGUAGUAACACUACAAGAAAACCCUACUUCUUAUUGCGUUAAUCUAACACAAGAACAUGAACAGAAAGAUUAAAAGGAAAAGAAGGAACUCGGCAAAUAUUAACCUCGCCUGUUUACCAAAAACAUCGCCUCUUGACUUAAUAUAAGAGGUCCAGCCUGCCCA
Molecule: ribosomal RNA, 896 nt
Filed under: Pleurodema thaul (Chile four-eyed frog)
Lineage: Eukaryota; Metazoa; Chordata; Amphibia; Anura; Leptodactylidae
Description: partial 16S ribosomal RNA
Rfam family: Bacterial large subunit ribosomal RNA (bases 170-896)
Source: RNAcentral